UCCGUAGGCGGAUAGAUAAGUCAGAGGUGAAAUCCUGCAGCUCAACUGUAGAAUUGCCUUUGAUACUGGUUAUCUUGAGUCAUUAUGAAGUGGUUAGAAUGUGUAGUGUAGCGGUGAAAUGCAUAGAUAUUACACAGAAUACCGAUUGCGAAGGCAGAUCACUAAUAAUGUACUGACACUGAGGGACGAAAGCGUGGGGAGCGAACAGGAUUAGAUACCCUGGUAGUCC
RNAcentral lists this ribosomal RNA (229 nucleotides) under uncultured bacterium. RNAcentral's name for it is "partial 16S ribosomal RNA". It matches the Rfam family "Bacterial small subunit ribosomal RNA", at positions 568 to 796 of the family's 1533-position model. The record is from RNAcentral.